AUAUACUGGCGGCAGCUUACCAUGCAAGUCCAACGGUAGCAGGAAGAAGCUUGCUUCUUUGCUGACGAGUGGCGGACGGGUGAGUAAUGCUUGGGAAUCUGGCUUAUGGAGGGGGAUAACUACUGGAAACGGUAGCUAAUACCGCGUAAUAUCGGAAGAUUAAAGGGUGGGACUUUCGGGCCACCUGCCAUAAGAUGAGCCCAAGUGGGAUUAGGUAGUUGGUUGGGUAAAGGCCUACCAAGCCUGCGAUCUCUAGCUGGUCUGAGAGGAUGGCCAGCCACACUGGAACUGAGACACGGUCCAGACUCCUACGGGAGGCAGCAGUGGGGAAUAUUGCACAAUGGGGAACCCUGAUGCAGCCAUGCCGCGUGUAUGAAGAAGGCCUUCGGGUUGUAAAGUACUUUUGUCAGGGAAGAAAAGCACGGUGUUAAUACCAUUGUGUGAUGACGGUACCUGAAGAAUAAGCACCGGCUAACUACGUGCCAGCAGCCGCGGUAAU
Molecule: ribosomal RNA, 499 nt
Filed under: uncultured bacterium
Lineage: Bacteria
Description: bacterial SSU rRNA
Rfam family: Bacterial small subunit ribosomal RNA
Source: RNAcentral